This is a non-coding RNA of Brachypodium distachyon (stiff brome), 124 nucleotides long. The record is from Rfam. NCBI's taxonomy places the organism in Eukaryota, Viridiplantae, Streptophyta, Magnoliopsida, Poales, Poaceae.
UACAUACUCUCUCCGUCCCAUAUUAAGUGACUCAAAUUUGUCCAGAUAUGGAUGUAUAAAUGGCUAAAAAACGUUUAGAUACAUUAAUAGGAAGUCACUUAAUAUGGGACGGAGCGAGUAUACA